Molecule: long non-coding RNA, 451 nt
Organism: Mauremys reevesii (Reeves's turtle)
Lineage: Eukaryota; Metazoa; Chordata; Testudines; Geoemydidae
Exons: 4
Source: RefSeq, a predicted model, not a curated record
UCCUGUUUUCCUUUUUUAAAUAUAAAAAUAGCCAGUGUUUUCCACCAUUUAAAGCCAGCCAUAACACAGGGGCGUAGUGUAGCUGAUUUCUAGUUGCUGAUAGAAAAUGAAAGUUUUCAAUGAUUUGACAAAGGCAGACCAUGGUUUCCAAACAGUAGUAAAUGUUUUCAGCAGCAUGUGAGAUUUAGUAAAACCUCCAAAUGCUGACAAAAAGUAUACAAGGUUACUAUGAUGGCUCAGGACAGGCAUGGGGCAACAUCUUUGAUUAAGUUCACACACUUAGGGCUCCAUACUGCAACGUCAUGGGAAGGAUUGCUUGUGCUGUAAUAGGCUGAGGUUGACUACCUGGUAGUUCACUUCCACUAGCCUGGCUGGAGGUAAGAGGAAAUUCAUCUGGCUCAGUCUCAUUUAUUUGUUUUUUCUCCAACUGGACAAGCACCUCCAGAGGCUG